This 490-nucleotide ribosomal RNA is filed under the name uncultured bacterium. RNAcentral describes it as "partial 16S ribosomal RNA". It matches the Rfam family "Bacterial small subunit ribosomal RNA", at positions 30 to 507 of the family's 1533-position model. The record is from RNAcentral.
AUUGAACGCUGGCGGCAGGCCUAACACAUGCAAGUCGAACGGUAACAGGAAGCAGCUUGCUGCUUUGCUGACGAGUGGCGGACGGGUGUGUAAUGUCUGGGAAACUGCCUGAUGGAGGGGGAUAACUACUGGAAACGGUAGCUAAUACCGCAUAACGUCGCAAGACCAAAGAGGGGGACCUUCGGGCCUCUUGCCAUCGGAUGUGCCCAGAUGGGAUUAGCUAGUAGGUGGGGUAACGGCUCACCUAGGCGACGAUCCCUAGCUGGUCUGAGAGGAUGACCAGCCACACUGGAACUGAGACACGGUCCAGACUCCUACGGGAGGCAGCAGUGGGGAAUAUUGCACAAUGGGCGCAAGCCUGAUGCAGCCAUGCCGCGUGUAUGAAGAAGGCCUUCGGGUUGUAAAGUACUUUCAGCGGGGAGGAAGGGAGUAAAGUUAAUACCUUUGCUCAUUGACGUUACCCGCAGAAGAAGCACCGGCUAACUCCGUG